AGCAGCCGCAGUAAUUUCAGCUCCAAUAGUGUAUAUUAAAGUUGUUGCAGUUAAAAAGCUCGUAGUUGAAUUUUGGGAUCAGUUGGUCGGUCGUGUCUUGGUACGUACUGGUCAAAUUGAUUCCUACCUUCUGACGAAUCACAAUGUCAUUAAUUUGGUGUCGCAGGAAAUCAGGACUGUUACUUUGAAAAAUUAGAGUGUUUAAAGCAGGCUCGUGCUUGAAUACAUUAGCAUAGAAUAAUGAAAUAAGACGUUUGAUUCUAUUUUGUUAGUUUCUAGGAUCGAUAUAAUGAUUAAUAGGAAUAGUUGGAGGUAUUAGUAUUCAAUUGUCAGAAGUGAAAUUCUUG
Molecule: unclassified non-coding RNA, 347 nt
Filed under: uncultured Entrophospora
Lineage: Eukaryota; Fungi; Glomeromycota; Glomeromycetes; Entrophosporales; Entrophosporaceae
Description: bacterial SSU rRNA
Rfam family: Eukaryotic small subunit ribosomal RNA
Source: RNAcentral